GCAGUAGGAGCUCACCUAAUAAUCCACUAUCAACCAAAUGGAAGUUUACAAAGUGUUGGCAAUCUCACAACCCAAAAAACCCAAUACAACCAAUAGCUCUCACACACCAAAGAAACAAAUAAAGAAAGAAAUAUAGUGAUUAAUUUCUUCUCUAUACAAAACUCAAAGCUAUUACAACAACAACUACCUUGGUGGAUGAUUACUAACCAAAGAAAAGAUCACCUUUUUCUUCUCUUCAAAAUGGGGUUGCUGCCUUUUAUUUUUCUGCUUCUCUCUCGGUUUCUUUCAUUACCAAAUGCAACAAGUGGGAGCAUAACAACCAAUUCUCUCCCUUUCUUUAUUUGCUACUCUAUGUUUUUCUGCAGCCAUUCCCGUGACUUUUUACAUAUGCCAAAGAAAAAAACUUUAGACAAAAUGCCCUUUUUUUCUCCCCAAAACAAGGAAGAAACAUAAUCAUGUUGUCUUUUUUUUUCUUUUGAUUUGUUUAAUAGCCAAAAGUUUUUUUUGUUUUGUUCUCCACUUGGCCACUUAUUCAACAAUCUCCACCUUGGCCAAGUUCCGAAAAACGCAAUGAUAAGCCAACCAACACAAUUAACACACAACAUCACUCCCAAACACUAGCAAGAGAACAACUCAUGCCGAGCCAAAUGCUCCAAAACUCCUACUGUUCAACGCAUUCUUUAUAUAGGCAAAAUGUGAGCCAAGUUCAAGCAAUGAACAAGUUUGGCUACACCAACAACCUUAGUCAACAUAUCAGCGAGGUUGUCUUUAGUUGGAAUCUUCUGGAGAAUGAUUUCCCCUUCACCAACAAUUUCAUGAACAAAGUGAUAACGCACAUCUAUGUGCUUGGUCCUCGCAUGAUGAACCUGAUACUUAGCCAAAUAAAUGGCACUCUAACUAUCACAAUGUACCUCCACCUGCUUCUGAUGAACCCCCAAAUCUCUAAUCAGCCCAUGUAUCCAAAUGGCCUCCUUUAUAGCUUCAGCAACUGUCAUAUAUUCAGCCUCUGUAGUAGAUAAGGCAACAUACGACUGCAAAAUGGACCUCCAACAAACUGGCCCUUUAGCCAUAGUAAACAUAUAGCCUGUAGUAGACUUCCUUCCAUCUAGAUCACUUGCAUAAUCUGAAUCAACAUAACCAACUGCAAAAUGGCCAAUGCUAGAGUCAUCUCUCUCAAAGCAUAAACCAACAUCUCGAGUACCAUGGAGAUACCUCAAUAUCCACUUAGCUACUUGCCAAUGCUCUUUACCUGGAUUAUGCAUAUAUCGAUUCACCAUGCCAACUGCAUGAGCAAUAUCCGGUCUAGAGCAUACCAUUGCAUACAUCAAACUACCAACCAAAUUUGCAUAUGGUAUAUUUUUCAUUUGCAGUUUCUUUUUAUCAGUUUUAGAACAUUGUAGAGAACUCAAUUUAAGAGGAGCCAAAGGGGUACUAACCGGUUUGGUUGAAUCAUGAACUCCAAACUUCCGAAUCAACUUCUCAAGGUAUUGUCUUUGAUUCAAAUUGACCAAACCCUUCUCUCUAUCUCUAGUGAUCUCCAUGCCAAGGAUCUUCUUCGCUUCACCAAGAUCCUUCAUCUCAAACGCAUUCUUCAUUUGCUUCUUUAAUUUUUCAAUCUCUUCAACAUUCUUUGAUGCAAUCAACAUAUCAUCAACAUAUAUCAACAAAUAAAUGAAAGACCCAUCUUGCAACUUUUUGAAGUACACACUAUGAUCAUAUUGACUUCUAGAAUAAUUUUGGCCUUUCAUAAAUUUAUCAAACCUCAAAUACCAUUGCCUUGGAGAUUGCUUCAAGCCAUAAAGUGAUUUCUUCAAUUUGCAAAACAAAUUCUCCUUCCCUUUCACUAUAUACCCAUCCGGUUGACACAUAUAAAUCUCUUCAUUCAAAUCACCAUGUAGGAAAGCCGUCUUCACAUCAAGUUGCUCAAGUUCAAGAUCAUACUGUGCAAUAAGAGCUAACAUAAUGCGAAUUGAGGAGUGUUUCACAACCGGAGAAAAGAUUUCAUUGUAGUCAAUGCCCUCAUUUUGUACAUACCCUUUAGCAACUAAUCUUGCUUUGAAUCUCACAUUGCUUUUCUCAUCAGCAUCUUCCUUCUUGGCAUACACCCAUUUGCAACCGAUAGCUUUCUUGCCCUUAGGCAAUUUAGCUAACUCCCAAGUCUUGUUCUUCAAGAGAGAAUUCAUCUCAUCACCCAUGCCAUUGCACCACCUCUCCUUUUCUUCACUCUCAAUAGCUUCCUCAAAAUUGGAUGGAAUCUCAUCAGUGAUAAUAGGAAGAGCAAAAGAAACAGUCACUAUACCGAGCUGGCUUGGUAAUUUGUCUCUUUCCUCUGUUCUUGGCAAUAGACUCUUGAGGUGAAACUUCCUCUUCAACUUGAAUAGAAUCUUCAAGUUCAACUUGUUCAACAUCCUCAUGGUCUCCAACUUCUUCACUUGUAGUGGCUUCAACAUCAGCGAAAAUAGGAUUUGAAGUACCAAAGGCAACUUUCUCAAGCUCCACCUAUUGGACAUCUUUCACAUUCUUCUCAGAGACUUUGUACAUACUUUCUUCAUCAAAUGUCACAUCUCUGCUGAUUACAAGUUUUUUCAUCUCUGGGCACCACAACCUGUAACCUUUGACACCACUACUAAAACCAAGAAAGAUAGCCUUUUUGGCUCUAGGAUCAAGUUUAUUUUCAGUCACAUGAAAAUAAGCAGGUGAACCAAAAAUACGGAUAUAGUCAUAAUCAGAAGAAGGUUUUCUAGUCCAUACCUCCAUUGGUGUCUUACCCUGAACAGCAGCUGAGGGUAACCGGUUGAUGAUGUGACAUGCAUAAUUAACUGCCUCUGCCCAAAAUGACUUGCUUAAACCCGACUGAGACAACAUACAUCUAACCUUCUCAAGCAAGGUUCGAUUCAAUCUUUCUGCAACUCCAUUUUGUUGUGGAGUUCCCUUAACACUGAAAUGUCUUACAAUCCUUUCUUCUUUGCAAACUUUCAAGAAAUGGUCGGAUGUGUAUUCACCACCAUUAUCCGAUCUCAAAACCUUAAUCUUUCUCCCAGUCUGGUUCUCAACCAUUUUCUUCCAACCCAAGAAAAUGCUUAAUACCUCACUCUUGUGCUUCAUAGUGUAGACCUAAGACAUUCUUGAAUAAUCAUUAACAAAGGUCACGAACCAAUGUCUACCACUCAAAGAGGGAGUCUUGGUAGGACCCCAAACAUCCAAAUGCACAUAAUCAAGAAUGCCAUUCAUCUGAUGUACAACAGUACCAAACUUCACUCUAGUUUGUUUCCCCAAGACACAAUGCUCGCAGAAAUCAAGCUUACAAGUCGUGGCACAUUUUAGAAGACCUUGUUUCACAAGCCCUUGUAGAGCUUUCUCACCGGCAUGACCUAAUCUCAUAUGCCAUAGUCUAGUAGUAUCAGAAUCGGAUGUGCCCAUAUUUUCUGAGACUACAGAUGCUUCACCUAUCACAGUGCUUCCUUGCAAUAAAUACAAAUGGCCACAUCGAGGAGCUUUCAUCACAACAAGUGCACCAUAAGUAACUUUCAAUGUCUAUCCAUCUGAAUGAAACCUGAAGCCCUUGGAUUCCAAAGUACCCAAAGAAAUAAGAUUUUUCUUCAAAUUCGGUACAUAUCAAACACCGGUCAACUCUUUAACCAUGCCAUCAUGCAACUUCAAACGAACUGUACCAAUCCCUUUUGUUGUGCAAGGAUUGUCAUCUCCCAUGAACACAACGCCACCAUCAAACUCUUUCAAGCUUGAAAACCAAUCCUUGUGAGGAGUCAUAUGAUAAGUAAAACCCGUAUCCAACACCCACUUAGUAGCACAAUCAAAUGAUGAGCAAGUGGUUAAAGCAAAAUCAGAAAAAUCUGUUUCAACCUCAGCAACAUUAGCUUCAGAACUUUCUUUGCCCUUGGUCUUCAAUCUAGGACAAUCUUUCUUCCAAUGGCCCUUAUUACGACAAAAGGCAUUCAUCCAUUUCCAAAGGUUUUCUACCUUUAGAGUUUCCUCUAGGUCGAGACUGUGAUUUUUUCCUACUAGAAGAUGAUCUUCUCUCCGAUGAUCUACCUCUAACAAAUAAAGCUUCAGAGGUACUAACAUGGUUCUUAUCUCUAUGCCUUAUUUCAUAAUUCAUCAAGGCAUUUGACACAUCUUCAAAUUUUACAGUUUCUUUACCAUGCAUAAUAGUGGUAACAAAAUGCUCAUAAGAGUCCGGUAAGGAAUUCAACAAUAUUAAAGCCUUAUCUUCAUCCUUAGUAUCCUCAUCUAAAUUUAACAAGUCGGCAAUCAACUUAUUAAAAGCAUCAAGUGUCUAAUCAUUUUUGUACCUUCUUUGUAUUGGAAGCGGUAGAGCUUUUUCUUCAAGUGUAGCCGAUUCUCUGCACUCUUCGUCAUAUACUUGUCUUCCAAUUUUUGCUACAACACACUUGCUAAUGUCUCCCGCAUCACAAAAUACUUCUGAGUUUUUGCAAGGCAUAACCGAAUUGAAGAGCAAGCCCACAAAUUUAAUUUCUCCUAUUCCGGCUUCGACAUAACUUCCGGCUUCUCUCCCAAAGCGGCAAGUAGAUCUUGUUGAGCCAGCACAUCUUUGACCUCACAUUGCUACAUCCCGAAGUUGUUUGUGCCAUCAAACUUUACCACUUUAAACUUUGCAUUUUGCAUCGUAGUUCUUGCAAACCCGGAGUUGCUUCCAAAAGGAUUCUCAUCUUGCCCGUCUAACAUCUUUGGCAACUAGACAGUACCCAAGAGCAACCAGUGCUCUGAUACCAAUUGUUGUGCUAGGAUAGCACCAAACCUUAUGGAACCAACUCAAGCUAACCCACAGGAAAUAUAUCAAAUGGAAUGCAAGAACAAAAUAUAAAAGACACCAAGAUUUUAACGAGGUUCCUCAACAGUCAGUGUAACUGGAGUACGUCCUCAGUCAGUGUAACUGGAGUACGUCCUCGGAGCAGUAGGAGCUCACCCAAUAAUCCACUAUCAACCAAAUGGAAGUUUACAAAGUGUUGGCAAUCUCACAACCCAAAAAACCCAAUACAACCAAUAGCUCUCACACACCAAAGAAACAAAUAGAGAAAGAAAUAUAGUGAUUAAUUUCUUCUCUAUACAAAGCUCAAAGCUAUUACAACAACAACUACCUUGGUGGAUGAUUACUGACCAAAGAAAAGAUCACCUUCUUCUUCUCUUCAAAAUGGGGCUGCUGCCUUUUAUUUUUCUGCUUCUCUCUCGGUUUCUUUCAUUACCAAAUGCAACAAGUGGGAGCACAACAACCAAUUCUCUCCUUUUCUUUAUUUCCUGCUCUAUGUUUUUCUGCAGCC
Molecule: long non-coding RNA, 5297 nt
Filed under: Malus domestica (apple)
Lineage: Eukaryota; Viridiplantae; Streptophyta; Magnoliopsida; Rosales; Rosaceae
Description: long non-coding RNA (MDOM_LNC010721)
Source: RNAcentral